UUGAUCCUGGCUCAGGAUGAACGCUAGCGGCGUGCCUAACACAUGCAAGUCGAACGUGAAGCCUUGGGUUUACUCGAGGUGGAAAGUGGCGCACGGGUGAGUAACACGUAGGUGACCUGCCCCGGCAGAGGGGGACAACCACUGGAAACGGUGGCUAAUACCCCGUACCUUCAGAAGGACUAGAAGCUUCUGAACAAAGCUCCGGCGCUCUGAGAGGGGCCUGCGGCCCAUCAGCUUGUUGGUAGGGUAACGGCCUACCAAGGCAAUGACGGGUAGGGGACCUGAGAGGGUGACCCCCCACACUGGUACUGAGACACGGACCAGACUCCUACGGGAGGCAGCAGCAAGGAAUAUUGCGCAAUGAGCGAAAGCUAGACGCAGCAACGCCGCGUGGAUGAUGAAGGCCUUCGGGUCGUAAAAUCCUUUUCUGGGGAAAUAGAAAGGAAGGUACCCCAGGAAUAAGAGUCGGCUAACUACGUGCCAGCAGCCGCGGUAAAACGUAGGAGGCAAACGUUAUCCGGAUUUAUUGGGCGUAAAGCGCAUGCAGGCGGUUUUUUAAGUCGGACGUGAAAGCUCUCGGCUCAACUGGGAGAGGCCGUUCGAAACUAGGUGUCUUGAGGGUGGUAGAGGAGAGUGGAAUUCCCGGUGUAGUGGUGAAAUGCGUAGAUAUCGGGAGGAACACCAGUGGCGAAGGCGGCUCUCUGGGCCAGCCCUGACGCUCAGAUGCGAAAGCUAGGGGAGAGAACGGGAUUAGAAACCCCGGUAUUCCUAGCCGUAAACGAUGUCAACUAGGUGUAGGGGUAUCCAACCCCCUUGUGCUGCAGCUAACGCAUUAAGUUGACCGCCUGGGGACUACGGCCGCAAGGCUAAAACUCAAAGGAAUUGACGGGGACCCGCACAAGCAGCGGAGCGUGUGGUUUAAUUCGAGGCUACGCGAAGAACCUUACCAGGGUUUGACAUAUAGCUGGUAGCGACUCGAAAGAGAAGCGACCCUUCGGGGAGGCUAUACAGGUGCUGCAUGGCUGUCGUCAGCUCGUGCCGUGAGGUGUUCGGUUAAGUCCGAUAACGAGCGCAACCCUCAUCGUUAGUUACAAGUGUCUAGCGAGACUGCCGGUGAUAAACCGGAGGAAGGUGGGGAUGACGUCAAGUCAGCAUGGCCUUUAUGUCCUGGGCUACACACACGCUACAAUGGCCGGUACAAUGGGUAGCCAAGCCGCGAGGUGGAGCCAAUCCUACAAAGCCGGUCUCAGUUCGGAUUGCAGGCUGCAACUCGCCUGCAUGAAGUCGGAGUUGCUAGUAAACGCACGUCAGCACAGUGCGUUGAAUACGUUCCCGGGGCUUGUACACACCGCCCCCGUCACGUCAUGGGAGCUGGUCACGCCUGAAGUCGGUGAGCCAACC
RNAcentral lists this ribosomal RNA (1401 nucleotides) under uncultured prokaryote. Its description in RNAcentral is "partial 16S ribosomal RNA". It matches the Rfam family "Bacterial small subunit ribosomal RNA". The record is from RNAcentral.